Molecule: ribosomal RNA, 429 nt
Filed under: Pseudomonadota bacterium
Lineage: Bacteria; Pseudomonadati; Pseudomonadota
Description: Proteobacteria bacterium partial 16S ribosomal RNA
Rfam family: Bacterial small subunit ribosomal RNA
Source: RNAcentral
UGGGGAAUAUUGGACAAUGGGCGAAAGCCUGAUCCAGCCAUGCCGCGUGUGUGAAGAAGGUCUUCGGAUUGUAAAGCACUUAAAGUUGGGAGGAAGGGCAGUAAGCGAAUACCUUGCUGUUUUGACGUUACCGACAGAAUAAGCACCGGCUAACUCUGUGCCAGCAGCCGCGGUAAUACAGAGGGUGCAAGCGUUAAUCGGAAUUACUGGGCGUAAAGCGCGCGUAGGUGGUUCGUUAAGUUGAAUGUGAAAGCCCCGGGCUCAACCUGGGAACUGCAUCCAAAACUGGCGAGCUAGAGUAGGGCAGAGGGUGGUUGAAUUUCCUGUGUAGCGGUGAAAUGCGUAGAUAUAGGAAGGAACACCAGUGGCGAAGGCGACCACCUGGGCUCAUACUGACACUGAGGUGCGAAAGCGUGGUGAGCAAACAGG